Molecule: transfer RNA, 74 nt
Filed under: Planctomycetota bacterium
Lineage: Bacteria; Pseudomonadati; Planctomycetota
Description: Planctomycetes bacterium (groundwater metagenome) tRNA-Gly
Rfam family: tRNA
About the family: Transfer RNA (tRNA) molecules are approximately 80 nucleotides in length. Their secondary structure includes four short double-helical elements and three loops (D, anti-codon, and T loops).
Source: RNAcentral
GCCCCCGUAGCUCAACCGGACAGAGCGCCGUUCUGCCGAAACGGGAGAUGCGGGUUCGAGUCCCGCCGGGGGGA